Non-coding RNA from Camellia sinensis, 543 nucleotides. The record is from RefSeq and is a predicted model, not a curated record. Lineage: Eukaryota; Viridiplantae; Streptophyta; Magnoliopsida; Ericales; Theaceae.
GAAUACUAGUUUCUUUUUGGUUUUUAGAUCUUUUUAGAGUUUAGACUAUUACAAAGAGGUUUCUCAUUGUUGCUACCAACAGCUAAUGAGUAAAGCUUAAGUUUGUUUUGUUUACUAGUCACUUGGUAUCUAAGACUAGUGAAGAUUACAGAUUCUGAUUUGUGAAGUCACAAUUAUUAUAAACUUAUUACUAUCUGAUAGAAGCAUGUUAAAAUAUGUUUUAUCUUACUUUUUCUGCAGUUUCAAAGCCUCAUAAUGACUUAUUUAUUUAAAUUGUUCUUCCAGGUACAAAACCUUCUUCAACAGAUGGCAUCUAGAUCAGUGAAGAUUACAGAUUCUAUGCUAUAUCAACUGGGUUCAAUGAAUUUAGUAACAAGGACAAGAUAUUAAAUUAAAUCAAAACUCAUGGGGUUUGUCUUGAUGUUUUUCCUGUUAUUUUUUGGCGAAUGUUAAAACAUGAUUUUUUGUGGAUAUGUUAUUUUGUAGUUAAUGGUAAUUGUAUAUUAAAUUGAAUGGGAAAGUGAAUUAAUGCUGUAUUUGCUA